This is a long non-coding RNA of Micropterus salmoides (largemouth bass), 329 nucleotides long. RefSeq lists it as uncharacterized. Lineage: Eukaryota; Metazoa; Chordata; Actinopteri; Centrarchiformes; Centrarchidae. The record is from RefSeq and is a predicted model, not a curated record. The transcript is spliced from 5 exons.
AUUUACAUCAGCAGCUAACAAAAAAAUGUCACAAUCCCCUCUAGGAAUUCCACUCAGAGGGGAAAUGCCUUGCUAGCAUCCAGCCCCGCCCGGCUCCUCUCAGCUGGGAGACGUCUGCCUGCCUCAUACCCUUUCAUCACUGCCAGAGUGACUCAGGAAUGAGAUUUACAUUUCACCAGGAUGACUCAUCGGGGCUUUGAUCGCUCACUCAAUAAGUGUCACAAAGUAUUGGUCCAAAGAAAAGCGCGGUGUGUUCUGUACAGCACACACCAUCGAUCCUGUUGUGGUGGCAGCCCGGCUGACGGUGAGUGUCCUGGUUUUUUCUCCUU